UGGAGUGGGGAAUAACUGAGGGAAACCUUAGCUAAUACCGCAUAAUACCUACGGGUCAAAGGAGCAAUUCGCUUCAGGAGGGGGUCGCGGCCGAUUAGUUAGUUGGCGGGGUAAUGGCCCACCAAGACAGUGAUCGGUAUCCGGCCUGAGAGGGCGCACGGACACACUGGAACUGAAACACGGUCCAGACUCCUACGGGAGGCAGCAGUGGGGAAUUUUGCGCAAUGGGGGAAACCCUGACGCAGCAACGCCGCGUGGAGGAUGAAAUCCCUUGGGAUGUAAACUCCUUUCGAUCGGGACGAUUAUGACGGUACCGGAAGAAGAAGCCCCGGCUAACUUCGUGCCAGCAGCCGCGGUAAUACGAGGGGGGCAAGCGUUGUUCGGAAUUAUUGGGCGUAAAGGGAGCGUAGGCGGUUUUGUAAGUCGUGUGUGAAAUCUUCGGGCUCAACUCGAAGUCUGCACACGAAACUGCAGGGCUUGAGUAUGGGAGAGGUGAGUGGAAUUCCUGGUGUAGCGGUGAAAUGCGUAGAUAUCAGGAGGAACACCUGUGGCGAAAGCGGCUUCACUGGACCAUUACUGACGCU
Molecule: ribosomal RNA, 584 nt
Filed under: Acidicapsa sp.
Lineage: Bacteria; Pseudomonadati; Acidobacteriota; Terriglobia; Terriglobales; Acidobacteriaceae
Description: bacterial SSU rRNA
Rfam family: Bacterial small subunit ribosomal RNA
Source: RNAcentral